GCAUAUCAAUAAGCGGAGGAAAAGACCCCGUCUUGAAACACGGACCAUGCAUAUCAAUAAGCGGAGGAAAAGAAACCAACAGGGAUUGCCUCAGUAACGGCGAGUGAAGCGGCAAAAGCUCAAAUUUGAAAUCUAGCACCUUCGGUGUUCGAGUUGUAAUUUGAAGAUGGUAACCUUGGGUUUGGCUCUUGUCUAUGUUCCUUGGAACAGGACGUCAUAGAGGGUGAGAAUCCCGUCUGAUGAGAUGCCCAUUCCUAUGUAAGGUGCUAUCGAAGAGUCGAGUUGUUUGGGAAUGCAGCUCUAAGUGGGUGGUAAAUUCCAUCUAAAGCUAAAUAUUGGCGAGAGACCGAUAGCGAACAAGUACAGUGAUGGAAAGAUGAAAAGAACUUUGAAAAGAGAGUGAAAAAGUACGUGAAAUUGUUGAAAGGGAAGGGCAUUAGAUCAGACUUGGUGUUUUACGAUUAUCUUCUCUUCUUGAGUUGUGCACUCGUAUUUCACUGGGCCAGCAUCGAUUCGGAUGGUAAGAUAAUGACAGUUGAACGUGGCUCCAUUCGUGGAGUGUUAUAGCUUCUGUUGAUAUUGCCUGUCUGGAUCGAGGGCUGCGUCUU
Molecule: ribosomal RNA, 608 nt
Rfam family: Eukaryotic large subunit ribosomal RNA